CACCGUGAUCUUUCCACAAGUCAUGUGGAGCCCAUUCAAAAGCAUUGCGGGUCAAAUGGACACCAUUUUCCUCGGGAAGAUGGAGGGGGAAGUGGAGAGGCUACUCAGACCACAGAAUCGUCUGUGACUUCCAGGCAUGAGUUGCUUAGCAAAAUGACAGGAACUGUAAACACAUUCAUUGGGAGGGGUACAGUUCGUGACAUAUCAAAGUUCCGGAAUAACAUCCAUCAGCACUUCACUAUCAACAUGCAGCAGAUUGAACAUGUUUUCUUCUGAGGAACACUCUGCUCAUCCCUAAAUCAGAAUCUUUGGAGAAAAUGCAGAGCAUGUUGAAAAGCAGAUAAUAAAUAGUAACAGCAAGAAUAGGCUGUGUUAGUGCUUUUAGCCACAGUAAAUGCAUCUGAUAGG
This 408-nucleotide long non-coding RNA is filed under the name Fukomys damarensis (Damara mole-rat). RNAcentral's name for it is "lncRNA (ENSFDAG00000026051.1)". The record is from RNAcentral. Lineage: Eukaryota; Metazoa; Chordata; Mammalia; Rodentia; Bathyergidae.